UACUGGUUAGCGCUUGUGGUUAGCGCUUCGGACUUGUAACCUCAGGGUUGCCGGUUUGAACCCCGACCAGUAG
Molecule: transfer RNA, 73 nt
Filed under: Alosa alosa (allis shad)
Lineage: Eukaryota; Metazoa; Chordata; Actinopteri; Clupeiformes; Clupeidae
Description: tRNA-OTHER
Source: RNAcentral